AUUGAACGCUGGCGGCAUGCCUUACACAUGCAAGUCGAACGGUAACAGGUCUUCGGAUGCUGACGAGUGGCGAACGGGUGAGUAAUACAUCGGAACGUGCCCGAUCGUGGGGGAUAACGAGGCGAAAGCUUUGCUAAUACCGCAUACGAUCUACGGAUGAAAGCGGGGGAUCUUCGGACCUCGCGCGGACGGAGUGGCCGAUGGCAGAUUAGGUAGUUGGUGGGAUAAAAGCUUACCAAGCCGACGAUCUGUAGCUGGUCUGAGAGGAUGAUCAGCCACACUGGGACUGAGACACGGCCCAGACUCCUACGGGAGGCAGCAGUGGGGAAUUUUGGACAAUGGGCGAAAGCCUGAUCCAGCCAUGCCGCGUGCAGGAUGAAGGCCUUCGGGUUGUAAACUGCUUUUGUACGGAACGAAAAGCCUCUUUCUAAUAAAGAGGGGUCAUGACGGUACCGUAAGAAUAAGCACCGGCUAACUACGUG
Molecule: ribosomal RNA, 482 nt
Filed under: uncultured bacterium
Lineage: Bacteria
Description: partial 16S ribosomal RNA
Rfam family: Bacterial small subunit ribosomal RNA
Source: RNAcentral